AAUCUUCAGGGCGAGGUGCAAUUCCUCACCGGUGGUAAAGCCCACGAGCCAUUUUUUGGUUGAUUUGGUGAAAUUCCAAAGCCGACGGUACAGUCCGGAUGAAAGAAGAUA
This 111-nucleotide non-coding RNA is filed under the name human gut metagenome. Its description in RNAcentral is "FMN riboswitch (RFN element)". It matches the Rfam family "FMN riboswitch aptamer (RFN element)". From Rfam's summary of the family: The RFN element is a highly conserved domain that is found frequently in the 5'-untranslated regions of prokaryotic mRNAs that encode for flavin mononucleotide (FMN) biosynthesis and transport proteins. This element is a metabolite-dependent riboswitch that directly binds FMN in the absence of proteins. In Bacillus subtilis, the riboswitch most likely controls gene expression by causing premature transcription termination within the 5' untranslated region of the ribDEAHT operon and precluding access to the ribosome-binding site of ypaA mRNA. The record is from RNAcentral.